This 253-nucleotide ribosomal RNA is filed under the name uncultured bacterium. Its description in RNAcentral is "partial 16S ribosomal RNA". It matches the Rfam family "Bacterial small subunit ribosomal RNA", at positions 524 to 776 of the family's 1533-position model. The record is from RNAcentral.
UACGUAGGGGGCAAGCGUUGUCCGGAUUUAUUGGGCGUAAAGAGCGUGUAGGCGGCUUUACAGGUCCGUUGUGAAAACUCGAGGCUCAACCUCGAGACGCCGGUGGAAACCGUAAAGCUAGAGUCCGGAAGAGGAGAGUGGAAUUCCUGGUGUAGCGGUGAAAUGCGCAGAUAUCAGGAGGAACACCUAUAGCGAAGGCAGCUCGCUGGGACGGUACUGACGCUGAGGCGCGAAAGCGUGGGGAGCGAACAGG